UGCCAGCAGCCGCGGUAAUACAGAGGGUGCUAACGUUGUUCGGAAUUACUGGGCAUAAAGCACACGUAGGCGGUUUUGUAAGUGUGGAGUGAAAUCCCACGGCUCACCCGUGGAACUGCUUUGCAUACUGCAAGACUUGAGGACGGUAGGGGAGAGCGGAACUCCUGGUGGAGCGGUGAAAUGCGUAGAUAUCAGGAGGAACACCGGUGGCGAAGGCGGCUCUCUGGUCCGUUUCUGACGCUGAGGUGCGAAAGCCAGGGUAGCGAACGGGAUUAGAUA
This 279-nucleotide ribosomal RNA is filed under the name uncultured bacterium. Its description in RNAcentral is "partial 16S ribosomal RNA". It matches the Rfam family "Bacterial small subunit ribosomal RNA", at positions 506 to 784 of the family's 1533-position model. The record is from RNAcentral.